RNAcentral lists this ribosomal RNA (372 nucleotides) under uncultured bacterium. Its description in RNAcentral is "bacterial SSU rRNA". It matches the Rfam family "Bacterial small subunit ribosomal RNA", at positions 524 to 898 of the family's 1533-position model. The record is from RNAcentral.
GACGUAGGAGGCGAGCGUUAUCCGGAUUCACUGGGCGUAAAGCGCAUGUAGGCGGCUCGAUAAGUCAUGUGUUAAAGCCCCUGGCUCAACUGGGGGAGGUCAUGUGAGACUAUCGGACUGGAGGGCAGUAGAGGCACGUGGAACUCCCGGUGUAGCGGUGGAAUGCGUAGAGAUCGGGAAGAACACCCGUGGCGAAGGCGACGUGCUGGGCUGCACCUGACGCUGAGAUGCGAAAGUGUGGGGAGCAAACGGGAUUAGAUACCCCGGUAGUCCACACUGUAAACGAUGAACCCUAGGUGUGGGGGGGUUACCCUCCGUGCCGAAGCCAACGCGUUAAGGGUUCCGCCUGGGGACUAUGAGCGCAAGCUUAAA